GGGGAAUUUUGGACAAUGGGCGCAAGCCUGAUCCAGCCAUGCCGCGUGCGGGAAGAAGGCCUUCGGGUUGUAAACCGCUUUCGGACGGAAAGAAAUCGCUUGGGUUAAUACCCUGAGUGGAUGACGGUACCGUAAGAAGAAGCACCGGCUAACUACGUGCCAGCAGCCGCGGUAAUACGUAGGGUGCGAGCGUUAAUCGGAAUUACUGGGCGUAAAGCGUGCGCAGGCGGAUUGUUAAGCAAGAUGUGAAAUCCCCGGGCUUAACCUGGGAAUGGCAUUUUGAACUGGCAGUCUGGAGUGCGGCAGAGGGGGGUGGAAUUCCACGUGUAGCAGUGAAAUGCGUAGAGAUGUGGAGGAACACCGAUGGCGAAGGCAGCCCCCUGGGCCUGCACUGACGCUCAUGCACGAAAGCGUGGGGAGCAAAC
Molecule: ribosomal RNA, 425 nt
Filed under: uncultured bacterium
Lineage: Bacteria
Description: bacterial SSU rRNA
Rfam family: Bacterial small subunit ribosomal RNA
Source: RNAcentral